AGUUUUUCAGUAGUUUAGUUAUGAUGUUAGGGUUAAGUCCCGUAACCGAGCGCAACUCCUUGUCCUUAGGUACCAGCACGUUAUGGUGGGCACUCUAAGGAGACUGCCGGUGACAAACCGGAGGAAGGUGGGGAUGACGUCAAGUCAUCAUGGCCCUUACGGCCUGGGCUACACACGUGCUACAAUGGUCGGUACAGAGGGUUGCCAAGCCGCGAGGUGGAGCUAA
This 226-nucleotide ribosomal RNA is filed under the name uncultured Pseudomonas sp. RNAcentral's name for it is "partial 16S ribosomal RNA". It matches the Rfam family "Bacterial small subunit ribosomal RNA", at positions 1046 to 1271 of the family's 1533-position model. The record is from RNAcentral. Lineage: Bacteria; Pseudomonadati; Pseudomonadota; Gammaproteobacteria; Pseudomonadales; Pseudomonadaceae.